AGAGUUUGAUCCUGGCUCAGAUUGAACGCUGGCGGCAUGCUUUACACAUGCAAGUCGAGCGGCAGCGCGGGGGCAACCCUGGCGGCGAGCGGCGGACGGGUGAGUAAUGCAUCGGAACGUAUCCCGUAGUGGGGGACAACCCAGCGAAAGCUGGGCUAAUACCGCAUAUGCUCUACGGAGGAAAGUGGGGGACUUCGCAAGGAGCCUCACGCUAUGGGAGCGGCCGAUGUCCGAUUAGCUAGUUGGUGAGGUAAAGGCCCACCAAGGCGACGAUCGGUAGCUGGUCUGAGAGGAUGAUCAGCCACACUGGGACUGAGACACGGCCCAGACUCCUACGGGAGGCAGCAGUGGGGAAUUUUGGACAAUGGGGGCAACCCUGAUCCAGCCAUGCCGCGUGCGGGAAGAAGGCCUUCGGGUUGUAAACCGCUUUUGGUCGGGAAGAAAGGGUUCGUCCUAAUAGGGCGGACUGUUGACGGUACCGGCAGAAUAAGCACCGGCUAACUACGUGCCAGCAGCCGCGGUAAUACGUAGGGUGCGAGCGUUAAUCGGAAUUACUGGGCGUAAAGCGUGCGCAGGCGGUAAGUUAAGUCUGAUGUGAAAGCCCCGGGCUCAACCUGGGAAUGGCAUUGGAAACUGGCUUGCUGGAGUGUGGCAGAGGGGGGUGGAAUUCCGCGUGUAGCAGUGAAAUGCGUAGAGAUGCGGAGGAACACCGAUGGCGAAGGCAGCCCCCUGGGCCAACACUGACGCUCAGGCACGAAAGCGUGGGGAGCAAACAGGAUUAGAUACCCUAGUAGUCC
Molecule: ribosomal RNA, 797 nt
Filed under: uncultured bacterium
Lineage: Bacteria
Description: bacterial SSU rRNA
Rfam family: Bacterial small subunit ribosomal RNA
Source: RNAcentral